Long non-coding RNA from Rhinichthys klamathensis goyatoka, 310 nucleotides. RefSeq lists it as uncharacterized. The transcript is spliced from 4 exons. The record is from RefSeq and is a predicted model, not a curated record. Lineage: Eukaryota; Metazoa; Chordata; Actinopteri; Cypriniformes; Leuciscidae.
GGUAGACUCUAGUUCUGCUGUAAAAUCCUCUGCUACAGCAGCCAAUGUCCUUCAUCUGUCUGCCUCAAAAUUGAACAAAAUCCGCUACAACAUUAAAGACUGCCCAGUGCAUUUAAACCAAGAACACUUUCCAGUUCUAAAAACAAUUGGAAUAAGAAUAGCAAAAAAUGGGAAGAAAGAGACAAAGGUGCGCUGGCAGCCUUGCUCUGGCUGUGGAGCAAAGUGGAAGGACACAUGGGAGCCUUAUGAACUUUUUCAUGCAGACUGAUUUGUAAAUGAAUAAAUAUAAGUGAUGUGUGUUAAUUUACAA